UACGUAGGGGGCAAGCGUUGUCCGGAAUCAUUGGGCGUAAAGAGCGUGUAGGCGGCCAGAAAAGUCCGCUGUGAAAACUCGAGGCUCAACUUCGAGCUGUCGGUGGAAACUUUCUGGCCAGAGUCCGGAAGAGGAGAAUGGAAUUCCUGGUGUAGCGGUGAAAUGCGCAGAUAUCAGGAAGAACACCCGUGGCGAAGGCGGUUCUCUGGGACGGUACUGACGCUGAGACGCGAAAGCGUGGGGAGCGAACAGG
This 253-nucleotide ribosomal RNA is filed under the name uncultured bacterium. RNAcentral's name for it is "partial 16S ribosomal RNA". It matches the Rfam family "Bacterial small subunit ribosomal RNA", at positions 524 to 776 of the family's 1533-position model. The record is from RNAcentral.